Molecule: ribosomal RNA, 261 nt
Filed under: uncultured prokaryote
Description: partial 16S ribosomal RNA
Rfam family: Bacterial small subunit ribosomal RNA
Source: RNAcentral
UACGUAGGUGGCGAGCGUUAUCCGGAAUUAUUGGGCGUAAAGAGCGCGCAGGUGGUUGAUUAAGUCUGAUGUGAAAGCCCACGGCUUAACCGUGGAUGGUCAUUGGAAACUGGUCGACUUGAGUGCAGAAGAGGGAAGUGGAAUUCCAUGUGUAGUGGUGAAAUGCGUAGAGAUAUGGAGGAACACCAGUGGCGAAGGCGGCUUCCUGGUCUGUAACUGACACUGAGGCGCGAAAGCGUGGGGAGCAAACAGGAUUAGAUA